Molecule: ribosomal RNA, 514 nt
Filed under: uncultured bacterium
Lineage: Bacteria
Description: partial 16S ribosomal RNA
Rfam family: Bacterial small subunit ribosomal RNA
Source: RNAcentral
GAUGAACGCUGGCGGCGUGCCUAAUACAUGCAAGUCGAGCGAACUGAUUAGAAGCUUGCUUCUAUGACGUUAGCGGCGGACGGGUGAGUAACACGUGGGCAACCUGCCUGUAAGACUGGGAUAACUUCGGGAAACCGAAGCUAAUACCGGAUAGGAUCUUCUCCUUCAUGGGAGAUGAUUGAAAGAUGGUUUCGGCUAUCACUUACAGAUGGGCCCGCGGUGCAUUAGCUAGUUGGUGAGGUAACGGCUCACCAAGGCAACGAGGCAUAGCCGACCUGGGAGGGUGAUCGGCCACACUGGGACUGAGACACGGCCCAGGCUCCUACGGGAGGCAGCAGUAGGGAAUCUUCCGCAAUGGACGAAAGCCUGACGGAGCAACGCCGCGUGAGUGAUGAAGGCUUUCGGGUCGUAAAACUCUGUUGUUAGGGAAGAACAAGUACAAGAGUAACUGCUUGUACCUUGACGGUACCUAACCAGAAAGCCACGGCUAACUACGUGCCAGCAGCCGCGGUAA